AAUGCAAUGAUUAAAUGCCUUGUUCUGAAACUCGCUAGGCGUUACGCGUGCGCUCGGGUUGGGCCUAGCGUGUAACGAGAAAAGCGGAGAUUAAUCCAAGGUUAAUCGGCGAUUAAUUUUGGAUAUAGUUUAGUAGCGUACGUGAAAACAGAAAGAUUGUGUGUAGCCUAGUGGGAGCUGUUGUGAGAUAUUUCCAUCAGGUCUUGAGUUCGGCGCCUGAACACUUCAAUUUUGCUAUUUUUUUUUUAGGAGUGGCAAUAUGGUAGUAUUCUCAUCGUCUUCCUCUGUCCCAAAUAUUAAGGGUUAGCUGUUUCUGCAAUAUUUAGCUGCCGCAACAAAAAAAUUAGUAAAAUCCUUUAUUUUUUUUGCUUUUUAAUUGUUGUUUACACCUUGAAGCUAUAGAUCUACACUAUAU
Molecule: long non-coding RNA, 415 nt
Filed under: Brassica rapa (field mustard)
Lineage: Eukaryota; Viridiplantae; Streptophyta; Magnoliopsida; Brassicales; Brassicaceae
Description: long non-coding RNA (BRAP_LNC003735)
Source: RNAcentral